This 3644-nucleotide unclassified non-coding RNA is filed under the name Hevea brasiliensis (rubber tree). The record is from RNAcentral. Lineage: Eukaryota; Viridiplantae; Streptophyta; Magnoliopsida; Malpighiales; Euphorbiaceae.
GGAAGAUAGCCCAAGAGUAACUGGCUGAGAACAAAGUGUUUUCCUCCGAAUGAAGAAAUGAAAGGGUACCAAAGAGAGUGUUGAUGAUGAUAUGCAAGUAAACCAAAUGGCUUCAUUGUAUUUGUGUUUGAAUUCUUGGUCUUCUUCUUCUUCUCCUUCCCAGCUCCCUCGCAGACUAGGAGAAACAUACUCUUCUUUAUCUACUUAUUCUUCUUCUUAUGCUGCCUUUAGUAAUGGUAGACGCACCAGAGGAUCCUUGAAACCCUUAGUUAUUAGUGGAGACCCUCCAACUUUUGUCUCUGCUCCAGGUCGCCGUAUUGUUGCUGGUUAGUUGUCUUCUUUCAUUUCUUUUUUCAUUGACUGUUUGGUUUCCUAAUACAUAAACUCAUUAAUUGUACGCAUAAAGCUUUUUCCUAAUUUUUUUUGGUGUAUACCAGAUUCUGUUAUGAUUUUCGUAGGACCCAAACUGGAUUGGGGUCUCCAAGCAUUGCCACGCUAUUUUUUUCUUGUUCUGCUAUCCCUGUCGCAAGUAAAACAAGUUAACAGAUUUUUAAAAUUUCCAUCGGUUGUGUGCUGGAUUCAUCCUGAGAGGUGAAAACCCAAUUGUGGUAUAGUUCUUAAAAAUUCAUGGAUGGUUACGAAGGAACGACCAGUGAGGUUUGGCUCAAUGGCAUUUGGAGUUGUGUCCACUCCUGGCUAUGUGAUUUUGAAUUGGAAUCCCAAUCAUGGCUUAAUAAAUUAAUAAAAAAAUAUAAUUGUCUGGUCAAGCUGAGACCACGCGUGCGAGCAUGUGAGGGAGAGAGGGGACUUGGGGAUGCUUAUGGCUUCUCCCUUCAUAAUUAGUGCAAAAACAAGCAGGGGCGGAACUAGGUGAGAGCUUGAGGGGCCUUGGCCUCCAAAAAGUUUUCAAAAUUAAAAAUUUACCCUAAAUUUUAAUAUUUAUCUGAAAAUUACUGUUUGCGCCCUAAAGAAUUUUUAAAUUAAAAUUUUACUUAUAAAUUUUAAUAUAUUUAAAAAAAAUUGUUUAGCCCUCCAAUAUUUUUAUUUUUAUUUCAAUCGCUAUAUUUUUAUGUAAAUUUCAUUCAUAUUUUUUUAUAUUAUUGAAUUAUCAUUUCUUAAUAUUUUGUAUUUUUACUUUAAUUCCUUUUUUUACUAAGAUUUCAGUUAGUUUCUUUUUAGUAUUUAUAUUUGGCCCCCAAAAAUAAACUUCUAGUUUCGCCCCUGAAAACUAGGAUUUAAAAUGGAUUUUCCCUACACACCAAAUAUGUUUUUUUUUUUUUUGUGAAAUAUCAUGAGGAGCAGUCCACAUAAAUCCAGCCAUUAGUUUAAAGAAAGCAACUGACUAUGUACAAAAGGAAAAAAAAGCAGUUGAUGACUGAUUGAAUUGCAGAAAAUGUUCUCAGCGGACCUUCUUACGAAUGGAUGACUUGGUGCUCCUAUACAUACCGAGAAUGAAACUCCAAGGUAGAGCCUUUCUGAGGGCUUUGAGAGAGCUUUUGAUAAUACCAGUAAAUGCCAAAUACAAAGGGAAUUGCAUGAUUGCAAAUGCAGUGACUGGAAGGAAAGCGACGGUGUAAAUGAGACUUCUUGACCACUGUGCCUUCAAAUGAAUUUCCAGCACAAUUGUUGCAGCAAAUGCAAGCAUGGUAGCUGCCACUGAGAUGAAGAGAAAUGUGAAGCCAAGUGUUAGUUUCCGAGGGAGAGAGAUUCGGAAGUCUUGAAGCCGAAAUGGAGAUGUGAGGAUGGAAAGGAACAUCACAACUGCAGUCAAUGAGCUGGCGAGCGAGAUAAUAUCCAAAAUUGUGAAAACGACAAAGAAAGGAUAAUGGAGAAGGAUGGGAAGGCCAGUCUUUUCAUCGGUACCUCCUGGAACAGUGUAGAUAGCAGUGAAACCAACGGUGGCGAUGAGAACAGCGAUAACAGAGCAAGACUCAGAUGUCCGUUUUAGCCAUUCUUGUGCAUCCUUGUGAAGCUUGGCAUGUGUCAGCUCAAAUAAUUCGAAGGCAGUAUGACCUUUUUCGUUGUGGUGCAUGAUGUAGUGAGAAGGGAUUAUCUUCUUUACACGCUCAAACCAGCGCAGCUCCCCUUGCAGUUGGAGCACAGUACUAGGUUUGUGUCCUCCAAAAUCAUUAUGCAAGUCUGCAGCAUGAUGCAAUAAGCUGUAGCCAUUAUUAUCAAUUUUGCGGACUAAAAUAGCCAUUGGGAUUUUCAUCUUUUUUACACGACGAAAGAUAUCCCUUUGGCGGUUCUUUAUAGCUACAUGUAAUAUGUUCUGCCCCAUAUCGCUAACAUGCUCAACAGCCUGAGGAUAUGCCUUCAGUAUCUCAUCCACAAUCUCUAUUAUACCAGUGCUAUUUGCAAUCAGCAAUGGCCUAGAAGGUUCAAUUGUCUUGUCCACGGGAUUGCCAUUUGUGUCUUCUUUACCACCUCCAAGUGAGCUAGUUCGUCUGCUUCGUACUGUUUCUCUAGAUCUUUCUGCUUCGCCAAAGGAAAUUGUACCUAUAUCCGGCUCUCCAUGACUGGUCUCCCAUGAUUUAUCUAACCUCACAAGCAGCUUUGUUAAUUUCAUAACAGAUUCAUGCCUUUUCUUUUCUUUCCUGAUUCUAUCCAAAACUGGCCAUCCUUGAGCCAGGAAAAUCCAUAUUGUACGAUUCAUCUUUGAAAUCGCUUUGCGAAGCCUUGAAUAGGUGAAUGGGAGGAAAUGAUUGGUUGUGGGUCCACUCUCCAAGUCAUCCUUUUUACUGAAAGAUACAGUAUCUUGGUGAUCCUCUUCAUGCUCAUUGCCAUCUGGAAGACAUUUAUAGAUCAAUCCCUUCAAUUUGCCCAUGGAUUGACUGCUCCUGUAAGCUGAGCGCAUUCUGGCUAACAGAUGAAGACACGUCCUGCCAUUUCCAUCUUUCAACUCUCCUAGUGUUUCAUCUGUCGUCUGCAGAUACAAAGCUGUUUCAAAGUGUUCAGCGUGGACAGCAAUGUGAAGAAUGGAGGUUGAAUCAUUUCUCCUGCCAUGGAAGCUCAUAACAGAAGGACCUUUUUGUCGGUGAGUUGCUAAUAUUUCUUCUCUAUGGCUCAACACUUCACUAGCCAGGAACUUCACCAUUUCUGUCUUGCCAAACGCCGCAGCUCUAUAAAGCGGCGUUUCGCCUAAUUUAUUCUUAAUAUCUAACAGAGUCCUUUCAUAAUCCAGUAAAAGUUUUGCUGCUGUGACAUUUCCCGCAGCAGCCGCCUCAUGAAGAGCAGUGUUUCCGUACUCAUUUCCUAUCAAUAAAGGACUCUGCUCUGAUCCUUUUGAUACUUCUCUUGCAAUUUUGACAAUACUUUCGACCAGACUCGUACUUCCACUGUAUAUUGCAAUAUGGAGAGCGGUGUCUCUGUUAACUGUCAGUGGAGACACCACAGCUUCUGUGUUUUGUUCAAAGAAGCUUUUCAACCUUUCCCAAUCUCCAUCUAAGAAUGCUUGAUAAGACACAGACAUCUCUGCAACGAUCACAUCUCUCCCGAUUUCUUGCAUCACCCUCUUUUCCCCUGCAAUGCUUACAUCUCUUUCUUCUUGGAUUCCUUCAUUUUCAGUUCUUUCAUCGCUACUCAUCUUUCCGCUAGAUGCUUCGGUUUCUUGCAUGUCCCUCUCUCCCAACUUUGUGGAUUGG